This 406-nucleotide ribosomal RNA is filed under the name uncultured bacterium. Its description in RNAcentral is "partial 16S ribosomal RNA". It matches the Rfam family "Bacterial small subunit ribosomal RNA", at positions 30 to 526 of the family's 1533-position model. The record is from RNAcentral.
AUUGAACGCUGGCGGCAUGCUUUACACAUGCAAGUCGGACGAGUGGCGAACGGGUGAGUAAUAUAUCUGAACGUACCGAGUCAUGGGGGAUAACUAAUCGAAAGAUUAGCUAAUACCGCAUAUUAUUCGAUCGGCCGAUAUCUGAUUAGCUAGUUGGUGGGGUAAAGGCCUACCAAGGCGACGAUCAGUAGCGGGUCUGAGAGGAUGAUCGGCCAAAAGGGGACGGAGACACGGCCCAGACUCCGACGGGAGGCAGCAGUGGGGAAUUUUGGACAAUGGGCGCAAGCCUGAUGCAGCCAUGCCGCGUGUCUGAAGAAGGCCUUCGGGUUGUAAAGGACUUUUGUCAGGGAAGCGGUACCUGAAGAAUAAGCACCGGCUAACUACGUGCCAGCAGCCGCGGUAAUAC